UCGCGGCGGCAGGGGAUCGCGGCAGGAUAAUUUCGCCGAGGAAAGUCCGGACUCCAGGGAACAAGAGUACGCCGGGUAAUACCCGGGCGGGUACGUGUACCCGACGGAAAGCGCAACAGAAAGCAAACCGCCUUAUUUCUCCCUAAGAAAUGGGUAAGGGUGAAAGGGUGGGGUAAGAGCCCACCGCGGUUUUGGCAACAAAACCGGCACGGCAAGCCCCGUAUGGAGCAAGUUCAAGCAGUGAACCGGGUUCCCGAAUGGUUCACGGGUAGAGCGCAAUCAGCGUUUGGGGAAACCCGGCGCGCAGACAGAUGAUCCCCCCAGACAGAAUCCGGCUUAUAGUCUCCGCGAGACG
Molecule: RNase P RNA, 355 nt
Filed under: Spirochaetota bacterium
Lineage: Bacteria; Pseudomonadati; Spirochaetota
Description: RNase P RNA component class A
Rfam family: Bacterial RNase P class A
About the family: Ribonuclease P (RNase P) is a ubiquitous endoribonuclease, found in archaea, bacteria and eukarya as well as chloroplasts and mitochondria. Its best characterised activity is the generation of mature 5'-ends of tRNAs by cleaving the 5'-leader elements of precursor-tRNAs. Cellular RNase Ps are ribonucleoproteins.
Source: RNAcentral